UUUUUUUGUUUUCAUUUCCCCUCUAUGUUCCCUCAAAACAUAGAAAACCCUUCAUUUUCACUCAUUUUCCCUCUACGUUCCCUCACCCAUUUCCCUCAAAACAAAAUCCUUGUUCUCGAUUCCUCAAAUCUCCUUUUCACAGAAAUCCUUAUUUGAGAAUGUUUCAGGAGUGGCUUCUUGUCAUGCCAUGGUAUUCAAGCGGCAAGUGUUGAUUGAUUAAUCGUGUUGCACAGCUGCUGUCAAGGAGAAAAUGUGGCGUUGAAUUAGCUGUUUGGUUCAGAGAUUGAAAGGGUAAAAUUGAGGCCGUCAUAGCUACUGCUCUUUUGGGCUCAUUAAAUGAUUCAUUAGAAGAUCAAGAACUCGAUAUAAAUCGCAUGUACUUUGAUGUUGUUGGUGGAGAAAAAAACCAGUGUGUGUAUGGAUUGGGCUCUCAGGAUUCAACCUUCUAUAAAGAUCAAAAUUCUAUCAAUUCGACAAAUUUAGUACCCGAUCAUGUUGCCGAAGAGUGCAUCAAAAUACUUGAGAAAAAGGUGUUGCAAAUGAGAGAAAAUCAAGAGACUUUUGCUUUAAAUUUUAAACGUUGGUAGACUUUUGCUUAUUGAAGUUGUGAUUUUGCAUGUCUAAUUAACUUCAAACUUUUUUUAUUAUAAAUCGUGUAUUAUGUUUGUUUUGUUAUGAUGGUUAAUUAUUUUUAAUUAAUUUCUCUCUCUCUCUCUCUCUA
Long non-coding RNA from Capsicum annuum, 721 nucleotides. RefSeq lists it as uncharacterized. The transcript is spliced from 3 exons. The record is from RefSeq and is a predicted model, not a curated record. Lineage: Eukaryota; Viridiplantae; Streptophyta; Magnoliopsida; Solanales; Solanaceae.